Molecule: ribosomal RNA, 356 nt
Filed under: uncultured soil bacterium
Lineage: Bacteria
Description: bacterial SSU rRNA
Rfam family: Bacterial small subunit ribosomal RNA
Source: RNAcentral
UAUGGCUGUCGUCAGCUCGUGUCGUGAGAUGUUGGGUUAAGUCCCGCAACGAGCGCAACCCUUGUCCUUAGUUGCCAGCGAGUAAUGUCGGGAACUCUAAGGAGACUGCCGGUGACAAACCGGAGGAAGGUGGGGAUGACGUCAAGUCCUCAUGGCCCUUACGGCCAGGGCUACACACGUACUACAAUGGUCGGUACAGAGGGUUGCAAUACCGCGAGGUGGAGCCAAUCCCAGAAAGCCGAUCCCAGUCCGGAUCGAAGUCUGCAACUCGACUUCGUGAAGUCGGAAUCGCUAGUAAUCGCGGAUCAGCUAUGCCGCGGUGAAUACGUUCCCGGGCCUUGUACACACCGCCCGUA